AGAAUUUCUGUAGAAAAAGAAAUUAAAUGUUUUUAUAAUGAAAGAAGCACUGCAAGAGUGCUAGUCAGACUCCAGAGGACUGGCUCACACAAUUAAGAUACUUUUUUCUUCUGCAGCACCUCUCUCAGUGCGUUGGCACUGCUGCUGCUCUCAAGUAUAUCUGGAUUUCUUUAACAACCACUUGAACUUCCUGCAGUACUUUGUUCCAUAUCCACCACUUGCUCUGAAAGGCAUCAAUCACACACCAGUUCUGAUGCUCCUUCUUAUAUGGUAACAUGGGAAUCACUGCCUAUGAAGGGACUGGCGUGUCUUGAAAAAAGCCCCGAAACCCAAACAAGACUCUUACCCGGUUGUAUUACACACGUGAUUCAUCAGAGCCACAUCUAGAGCCUGGACGGCCAGUUCAUCAGGCGUGGAGGAAAAAGACGGUCAAGAACGUCCCUUUCUUCUACUUGAAUAUAAAUUGCAACAUCAGGACAGAGUCCUCGUUCUGACAA
Molecule: non-coding RNA, 497 nt
Organism: Phalacrocorax carbo (great cormorant)
Lineage: Eukaryota; Metazoa; Chordata; Aves; Suliformes; Phalacrocoracidae
Source: RefSeq, a predicted model, not a curated record